GGCUCUUCCUGGUUCCCCUUCCUUACAUGUGGCCUGGAAACCCUUUGAUGCUGAAGAUCUCACCAUCCUCACUUGCACAAGACCUUGCUGAGGUUGAUGAGCAUGGUGAUAAAAAAGAGAGACAUCUGGAUUCUUCUCCUGGAUCUGGCCUUGCUGACAGGAAAUGUC
Suricata suricatta (meerkat) is the source of this 168-nucleotide long non-coding RNA. RefSeq lists it as uncharacterized. Lineage: Eukaryota; Metazoa; Chordata; Mammalia; Carnivora; Herpestidae. The transcript has 3 exons. The record is from RefSeq and is a predicted model, not a curated record.